This 470-nucleotide unclassified non-coding RNA is filed under the name Zea mays. RNAcentral's name for it is "misc RNA Zm00001eb171450". The record is from RNAcentral. Lineage: Eukaryota; Viridiplantae; Streptophyta; Magnoliopsida; Poales; Poaceae.
GCACAACGGGAUGAAGCGCGCUGGGAGUUGGUUAUGAAGAAGCUGAGUUGUCUGGUCCAGAAGAUGGAGUCGUUGGUGGGGGGUCAGGCAGAUCUAGCAGCAGCGGUGGCGCAGCAAGCGGCGGAGGAUCUGCCCGUUCUGCCUCAGUUCGUUCGAUCUGCGGGCAAUACCACGACGCCAGUCUUUGACGAGGGACCUGUCUUCGACGACGAGCUGCCCAUCGACUUCGGUUCCCAGGGGAAGACCGCGUCCAUGGCGGCAGCAAGCGCCAUGGAGGUCCCCGGAUCCACCCCGACGCCCUCCGUCCCCUUCUACGACAGCGUCGACAUCUUCCACCUCAAUAGUGAACCCGUCUACGACGUCUACGAUGACGACGAGGAUGGCGAUUCGUCGCAGCAGGCCGUGGUGCUCGCUGCGGACAAGAACUACUACCCCACCGCUGAAGAGAUGUACGGGCCGGGCAUGGAGGC